Long non-coding RNA from Phascolarctos cinereus (koala), 283 nucleotides. RefSeq lists it as uncharacterized. NCBI's taxonomy places the organism in Eukaryota, Metazoa, Chordata, Mammalia, Diprotodontia, Phascolarctidae. The record is from RefSeq and is a predicted model, not a curated record.
CCUGGGUCCAUCAAAUUCAACCGAACAGAGAUAAUCCUGCAGAACCUGCUCAGUUGCUUGUUCAAGAGAAGCAGCAUUGGCAACUUCUACACCGGGUGCAAAGUGGCCUCCCUGAGACCAAAGAAAGAUGGCUUAGCAACAGCUGUGGAUGCCGUGUGCACUCAUUGGAGAGACCCUACUAAAUCAAUUCCAGACAGAGAGACAGUCUACUAGGAAGUGAGCAAGCAGACACGUGGCAUCAGCAGGCUGGGCCCAUACACCCUGGAUAAGAACAGUCUCUACC